AGAAUCAACGCUGGCGGCGUGCCUAACACAUGCAAGUCGAACGAGAAAGUGGAGCAAUCCAUGAGUAAAGUGGCGACCGGGUGAGUAACACGUGACUAACCUACCCUAAAGUGGGGAAUAACUCCGGGAAACCGGGGCUAAUACCGCAUAAAAUCGUCGUUUCUAAAGAAGUGACGAUCAAAGCAGUAAUGCGCUAUGGGAGGGGGUCGCGGCUGAUUAGCUAGUUGGCGGGGUAAUGGCCCACCAAGGCGAAGAUCGGUAUCCGGCCUGAGAGGGCGCACGGACACACUGGAACUGAAACACGGUCCAGACUCCUACGGGAGGCAGCAGUGGGGAAUUUUGCGCAAUGGGGGAAACCCUGACGCAGCAACGCCGCGUGGAGGAUGAAGCCCCUUGGGGUGUAAACUCCUUUCGACCAAGACGAUAAUGACGGUACUGGUGGAAGAAGCACCGGCUAACUCUGUGCCAGCAGCCGC
Molecule: ribosomal RNA, 476 nt
Filed under: uncultured bacterium
Lineage: Bacteria
Description: SSU rRNA
Rfam family: Bacterial small subunit ribosomal RNA
Source: RNAcentral